UUCUAGAAAACAUAUCAGAACCCUGUGAAUAUUCAUCAAGUAACAUAAUUUGAUUUAGUUAAAUGCUUUGUGGAAUGUGAAUCAGUUUCUUGUUUGGUUUGAAACUUUGGCUGUAGCUGUUACUGUGAGAGUUGGUUCCAUCAAAUUAAUUGGACUUCAUCUUUUCCUCCUUUUGGUAACAGUGGUUGUUAAAUAUCUAUACAGCUAUCCAUCCAUCCAUAAUUUUUAUAAUGCCGAUUGAAACCGGCCAAUCGUCUUCUGCCCAAGAGUCUUGCAAAAAUACAUUUUCUACAAAUACCACCCAAUCAUUUGUAAAAAUAGAAUCUCAUGGGUGCACCCAAAAAAGGGGUCUAUGCAGGUACAUUAAGUUUUAGUUGUGUUCAUAAAUUAUUGGUUUCUAUGAAGGUACAUUACGAUGCUAUGUCUGUGCCUAUGGCUAUUGCUUUACCUGGUUGCUUGCUUUUUGGCCAACCAGUUAUCGUAAAACCUUCUGAAGCGGAUAAAAACCUUGUUUAGUCAACCACAUGUGGUGCUGGAGCAGGUUUGGGGACAAGUGCUGCCUCUGAGAGAACUUUAUGUAAGAAAUCUUCAUUUUAACAUGACAGAGUUACAACUCAGAUAGGUUACAAAGCCUUAGAAUAUUGACUUAUCAUGUGCAUUAUAUAAUGGUGGAGGUUUAUAUACACAAUAUUCUGCGAUGUUGAUCUACCUUUACUUGUAGAAUAUAACAUGCUGAACAACAAAUUUAACGUGAUAGAGAAAAUAAAGUUUAGGCAAACACAAACAUGGGCGUAUCUAUCAAAUAUUUCACCCAAAUACACCCAUGUAUGUGUUUUCCUGAACUUUAUUUCGUCUAUAACACUGAUCUGUUCUUUAACAUGUAUAAUUGACUUUCUCAAUGUCCUUGCUACAGUAAUACCCAUCUAUACCAAACACUUUAUUUUCUGUUUCUAAGGUGCCCGCUUGACUUUGCUUAAAAAAAGUAGCUUUUCAAAAAUAGUUUUUUAGAGUCAAACUUCAGUAACUUUUAAGUCAAAAAUGAAAUGUAGGGAUACCUGCUUUUAGCUUCUAACUUUUUCAAGUUUUAACUUUUAAGUCAAAAAUGAAAUGAGGCAUACCUGCUUUUAACUUGUAACUUUUUUCAAGUUGUUUUUAAAAUAUCCAAACACUCUCGAGAGCUGAAAACACUCUUAAGCCAAAAACCCUCUAAUUUUCCAUUAUGUCUGUUAUGUUCAUAUUUUUGAAGCUUUUGGGCCAGUAGAGCUUAUUCAAUUACCUACAAAUCCUGAAACAGGACAUUGCGCAAAGGAUUUGGGUUUGUUCAAGUUGGUUUUUGGUGAAUUACAAUAUUUCUUUUCAGUAUAUAUUGUCUGUCAUAGUUUUUUUUCUUUUUGUAAUGCCUCUAUGUCUUGAUUUGGGUUCAUAUUAGUUUGCUCAACUUGAACAUGCAAAGGCAUCUAAAAGUUUGAAUUGCAAGCUUGAGAUUGCGGGUCGCACCAUCAAGAUUUCAUCCGUUGCUAAAGAUGUUCAAGUACAAGAUGCUGGAGCUAAAAUUGCUGAUUUUGAUGACAAUCAAGGAGGAGGCUUGGUGAGUUUGCUCCUAAAUCAUUAUUUACAAAGGACCUUGCAAGCCAUCUUUUCUUAAAUAGGUUAGAUACUUCGUAAGGUAUGAGCAUGAUGGAGGUGGUAAAAGGUCCAUCCAUGUGUUUAUGUUAGACAUGACAUGAGAAAAACAGUUACACCAUUUGCUACAUUGCUGCACUAUGUUGUCCUUCUCUCUCUUUUUAUCUCCUUAUUUGAUAUUGAAAUUCACCAACUUGUACUUCCUUCCAAUCUCUCCAUAAUAUAGGAUCAAGCCAAAUUUCCAUUCACACAAACUUCUGACACCCAAACAGAGAAGCAGUUCUGUAGAAAAUAUAGCUAGUAAAAGAUAUAGGUAUAUUGUCCUAAACAUUAAAAAACACAAUUAACAAAGGCUAACAAGUUCCUCCAAACUUGGACAAACUAAAAGGAUCAUUUUCUAUAAAAUGCAAAUUGAGUUUGAAACUUGUCUCGACCUAUAAAGAUCCACCUUACCCCUUUAAUCCAAAACAAAGUUAUCCGUGUGUCAGAGCAAUCCCUAGCAGCUUCAUUGGCUUCUUCAAUGACAUGGUGAACUGCACAAGUUAUACAUUUCAGCAAGUUGGAAAUUUCCUUCAACCUCUGUAUAGUUAUUUCAUUUGGCUUGGGGAGAUCAUUAACAUAUUGAACAAGCAUAACAUUAUUCGACUCCACAAUCAACUUUCUUGCAUGUGGUUCUCAUUUCUUACAUUGGUUCGACCCAUGCCUUUAGGCCUCAAGUUUAGCAAUCAAAUCAUCUUGAACCUCAAUAUCACCCAGUAGCUACUUAAACACGAUCCUUUUUCAUCUCAGAAGACACCACUAAAUUGUCCUGGCUGGUUCCCUUUGUGCUAAUACCAUAGAUGCUUAGUUCAAUCUUAACCUGGAAAAGGGGAAUCAAUUUCCAUAUGACAUGACAAGGUAUAUAAUAUUAACCCAAAAGUUUCUUCAAACAUCUUACCAGUCUGAUAGCUUGGCAUACCCGAUAAUAGUUUGGAAAUGCUGGACAAAAGUUAAAAGUUACAUUUCAGGGAGUUUACCCUCCUAUUGUUCCUUCAGCUCAACAAACAAGUACUUUGGAUAAUUCAACCAACAAAAUUAUCCAACUAGCACUUAAAUGAAUCACAUGAGUAAAACACAUCUUAUGACUUGGAAAAAUAAAUGAAAGAAACAUAGACAUAAAAUAAAGGGUUAAUGACUUCAAUGAUAUGUUCAUAGGGCAAAACUUUUGUUUCCCAUAAUUAAUAGAAUGAUAAUAGAAAAUUACAUUUGAUAAUAAAUAGAAAUUUUAGCAUUUAGUCACACUCCUAAAUAACUUUGGGUAUGAGACCAAUAAUAUCACGGUUUGCUAAUAUUUGUGUCAAAGUUGAUAUCCAUGUCAAACAAAUGUAAGUUAAAUUCUAAGAACACAUAAUCAUACAUUGCAUCUUCACUAGUUUUUAUGUCAAUCUCUAUUGUGAAUUUAAGAGUUCUCUGUAAACAUACCAUUGUUUCAAGAUCAUUCAGAUCCUUGAGCGAUAGAUCAUUAAAAUUCUCCACAAAUGAGUUUGUCAACAAGAGAAUCCGGUUAAGACAAGACGCAGACUAGUUUGCUCCCAAUAGAUUGCAAAUAAGAUGAUAGUAAGAAAGAGGCAUGUAGAACGUUCUUGGUCUCUAAGCUGUCCUCUUAUGAUCUUCAUCAAUGGUGCUUAAGACCUAGUCUUCUGCAAACUGCUGUAUCAAUAGAUGACAUUACAGGAUCAUAUAUUUCUACAUUGUCAAUUAUCUAGUGGUGUAUGCUGGAAUGCGAGGGGAUCUCAAACAGGAUGAGACCAUCCAAAAAAUAAAUAUCUAUCGCACUUUAGGCUCCUAUUCGCAUGUUCAGGUGGUUAAUCCAUGGUUUGAGAAGCGUUGAAUACACUUCCAAUUCAGAACUUUAGCCUGCCACAGUUCUCCAACUAAAGCAAAAUUUUUCCAGUUAGAUUGGCAGUAUAGAAAUAUACGGUCUUGUUAUGUCGUCUCUUCUGUUGAUAUUGCAGUUUGAACUUUGAAGGAAACUAGGUCUUGAGGUUCUCACCAUUGAUGAAGAUUGUAAGAGGAAAACACAUCUUAUGAGAUGCAGGAUUAUGUGCUCAGAAUUUUCCUAACAUUUCUUUGACGUCGAUAUCAACUUUGACACAAACAUUGGUAAGUUAGGAUAUUAUUGGUUUGAUAUGCAAAGAUAUUUGGGGGUGUAAUUAAAUACUGAAAUUUCCCGUUAUUAUCAAAUGUAAUUUUUUGUUUGAUUCGAGGAAACCCUAUGAACAUAUUGUUGAAGUCAUUAGCUCUCUAUUUUAUGUUUGUGUAUGCUUGUUU
Molecule: non-coding RNA, 3933 nt
Organism: Solanum lycopersicum (tomato)
Lineage: Eukaryota; Viridiplantae; Streptophyta; Magnoliopsida; Solanales; Solanaceae
Source: RefSeq, a predicted model, not a curated record